Astatotilapia calliptera (eastern happy) is the source of this 3351-nucleotide long non-coding RNA. The record is from Ensembl. Lineage: Eukaryota; Metazoa; Chordata; Actinopteri; Cichliformes; Cichlidae.
CCUGUCCAGCGCUCAGUGCACGUCAGCACUUUCUCUCCUCCUCUUAUCCCCUCCCUGUCAUUUUUUUCUUCUUUUCGGGUGUUGGGCCAGCCACCACCAACACGACAGGAUAGGGAGCAGAAAAGACCAAAGGCAGUAGGAAAAACAAAAAGAGAGAAUCUUUUAUUUUCAGGAUGAGAAAUGCUCUGUACAGAGAUGUGAGUGUUCAGGUGUCAGUAUGUGCUCGAAGGAAAACAUCCUUUCGUAAACCCUCUGGCAGGAAGUUUACCUUCUGCCUUGCUAGAGGACUUUGCUUUAAAGAGGAAGAGAGAGAAGACAAAAGAUGAAGGCAAGUAGAGAGGAGUUAUAAAGGACUUGUACAGCUGUCUCUACACUCUAUCAGUUCACAGUGAGAAAAUACAUGUGCACAGACAGUGCUGGUCAGGAAUGUAAUGCAGUAAACAUAUUUUGUCCUAGAGGAGUAAAGUAGGAGAUUUUUGUUUAUUAUCAUCAAGUCCCAUUAAAACUAAAACAAAUCUGCUGAAAUGACUGCCUGUGUGGUCAAAGCUUCCUUUUCCUUUGUGUCAUAAAAUUUUGAGGAACGCAUUAAUGAGCCACACUUCACACUGAGUGUCAUGCUCCUCUGUUAUGAUGAACACGGGCUCUGUUGUAUUUUAUCAGGGUAAAUCCCUCAGCCAUUGUUCUGUUGCUGCAAGAACAGCAACAAAUGUGCGUCUGACGGUGUAAAACGCUUGCUAGAAAGUGCACUGCUUAGCUGUUUUUUCAAAUUAAAAGAAGAAAAAUAGCAUCAACCUUGGGAUUUGUUGAAAAAUACAGAGAAACUCUGCUUUUAUCCUUCAGUGGGUUGUUUAGUAUCUGAGGAUAUUCUCCCACACAGCAGUCAGGUAAACUGAAUGAAAGUGAUUUAUGUCUCUGCUUACAGUUUAAAGGUAUGGUCCAAUAGUGAGCUUAGUGAGAUCCAACACCUGCCACAUAGUUGAAGAAAACACACGUUAUCCACAGUUUAAUGUUAAAACAUUAAAAACCUCUGUGGGCUGUUUAAGGCUCCGUGUUUGGAAAGACACGGCAUAUUUUGUACUUCUGCACGCCGGCAAAGUGGAUUUUAAAGCAAACACUGAAUAUGUGAUUAAAGUGCAGUUUUAAUUCAAGUGUUGCUUGAAUUUACUGCUUAGUAAUUACUGCCUUUUUCAUCCGCACUCCCCCAUUUUCAGAGGCUCAAAAUUAAUUGGACUUACUAACAUAUUAUUAAAUAUAUAUGGACUUAUUUUUAAGCACUUGUAUGAAAGUUUUUUGUAGUCACUGCCUGAAGUCUAGAACCCAUGGAUAUCACCAAAUGCUGGGCUUCCUCUCUUGAAAUGAGUCUCACUUUCUUCAGUUUUGUAUUUAAUAAGUGAAAAGCAUGCUUUUUGGGGCUGAGAUCAGGUCACUGACUUUUGCAGUUUGCCUUUGGCCAUUUGCACUGUGAAGCGCUCGACUGAGUUUGGCAGAAAAUGUGGUAGGCUUCAAAUUAUGAGCUGCUUUUCUCCUUCUUCCCAUCAUUCUGGUACAAAUUCAUCUUAGUUUCAUCUGUUCAAAGAUGUUUUUUUUCUCUAGGAUGCUGCAGACUCACGUCCAGUCUAAAAAUGGGGGAAUACGUAUAAAAGUGGUUGUCACAUUGUAAUUGUUUGAUUUGAAAUCCUCUGUAGUGGUGUAUAGACGCAAAACUAUAACAGUUGUGUCUCGACCAUCAAAUGAUGGACUUUGCUGUAUUUGCAUUACAUCCUAAUAGACAACCACUCGUAUUAUCUCUUUCAAAAGCAACACACAGACUAGUUUGAACAAUUUCCAUUCAUCCCUCCAUCUUUUUUAACCACUUAUCCAAUUCUGAUUUGUGUGGGAGUUUGAACAUUUUUUAGUAGCUGUGCACUAGAAUUGUACUCACAUAGAAAUUCACAUUGAAAUGCUCAGAUAAUAGCAUCAGUGAAACACUGGGAGACUCUGAGCUGUUAAAGGUGGGCUCUAUCCUAGCUGUUUCAAUGACUCAUCCUUCCCUUAUAAUCUUUGUGCUCAAAAUCCCCGCAUCAUUAAACUCCCAUUAUUUCAGUAUAGCUUACUCCAUAGUGAGGAUCAAAUUGAGAUUUCAGACACUUAUAAAUUCUCCUUUCCCAUCUCCGCUGUCACUGACUAAAUGUAGGGUCGCACGACUUUAGUAUUUUUCACAAUGUUACAUUUCCAUUCAGUUCUGGGACUUGUUAAGUGCACUCGUGUUGUGUUAUAUAACAACGAGGGAACACUUUUAGAUACAUCCUGUGCAAGUACAAUGAAAGCACAUUGGACCUUUUUCUUUUACAAUUUCCUCCUCUUUUUACCGUAAAUUGCUGAGAAACACUCAAAGUUAGGGAAGCGAGUCUAACUUUGUCGAGACCGGAGUGGAGAAGCUCCAUUAAUCCAUAGAUAUUUGUAAACAGGACUAACUUUGCAUUCUGCAUACCUUCAAACUGUUUGCAGACACCCAAAUAUAAAGCAUAUAUAAAAGGUAGAUAAAGCUACAGAGUCUAAAAGGUGCAGCCAAUACAUAACUGUCUCAGACCAAAAAUAGUCUAUGGGGAAAACAAAUAUCCUACUCACUUUAUCUUUGAUUUCAAUAAACACUCUUGAUGAGUUUAUGAUUGUGAUUGCUACUUUCAAUUCUUGGAUAAUACGAUGUUUAUUUAGUAAAAUAUGAUCUCCUCACUGUCCUUAAAGGUAGAUAAAGCAGGGUGUGUGUGCAUUAGGGCGUGCCUGUCCUGUGACUGACAAGUUGCUACCCUACGAGCAUGCAGCAUCCCUCAGUUUCUCAGUCACAUCCUCCCUCCUCAUCGUUUCCAGUUUUAAAUCAUCAAGAUGGCAAACAGCCAGCAUGCUCAGCUCAGGCUCUGGACUGGGAUGGGGACUUUGCUAACCAUCGCUGACAUCACGAUUACUACAUUAAUCUUUUAUAUGCGUUCUGUAGAGACAAUUCAUUUUUUGUUUGACUGGACUUGCACUGUAUGGACAAAAGCACUGGCACACUGCCUCUACAAGAGCUGCUCGGCCAUGGAAACCCAUGCUAUGAAGCUCCCAGCGAACAGAUAUUGUGCUGAUAUUAACGUCAGGGGAGGUUUAUCUCUCUGCAGAGGAUUGGCAACUUUUACGGACUAUGCACCUCAGCGUUCAACAACACCGCUCUGUAACUUCAUGUGUCAGAGUUGCUGUGCUUCCUUCCACUUCUACACUACAAUAAUACAAAUUACUUCAGGAAGGGCAUCCGUAUGGUUCCUCUGAGGGUUCACAUGCACUCCAACUAAAAUAAAAAAAAACAACCCACCAGCAAAUAGGAAAAAGCACACGAAA